Molecule: ribosomal RNA, 113 nt
Filed under: Propithecus coquereli (Coquerel's sifaka)
Lineage: Eukaryota; Metazoa; Chordata; Mammalia; Primates; Indriidae
Source: RNAcentral
GUCUAUGGCCAUACCACCUUGAACACACCUAAUCUCGUCUGAUCUUGGAAGCUAAGCAGGGUCGGGCCUGGUUAGUACUUGGAUGGGAGAAUUGGAAUCACGUGGUAUUUAUC